This 577-nucleotide ribosomal RNA is filed under the name uncultured bacterium. Its description in RNAcentral is "bacterial SSU rRNA". It matches the Rfam family "Bacterial small subunit ribosomal RNA", at positions 102 to 674 of the family's 1533-position model. The record is from RNAcentral.
ACGGGUGAGUGAUACAUCGGAACGUAUCCUGGAGUGGGGGAUAGCCCGGCGAAAGCCGGAUUAAUACCGCAUACGCUCUGAGGAGGAAAGCGGGGGACCUUCGGGCCUCGCGCUCAAGGGGCGGCCGAUGGCGGAUUAGGUAGUUGGUGGGGUAAAGGCCUACCAAGCCGACGAUCCGUAGCUGGUCUGAGAGGACGACCAGCCACACUGGGACUGAGACACGGCCCAGACUCCUACGGGAGGCAGCAGUGGGGAAUUUUGGACAAUGGGGGCAACCCUGAUCCAGCAAUGCCGCGUGUGUGAAGAAGGCCUUCGGGUUGUAAAGCACUUUUGUCCGGAAAGAAAUCAUCGGGGCCAAUACCCCUGGUGGAUGACGGUACCGGAAGAAUAAGCACCGGCUAACUACGUGCCAGCAGCCGCGGUAAUACGUAGGGUGCGAGCGUUAAUCGGAAUUACUGGGCGUAAAGCGUGCGCAGGCGGUGCUGUAAGACCGAUGUGAAAUCCCCGGGCUUAACCUGAGAACUGCAUUGGUGACUGCAGCGCUGGAGUAUGGCAGAGGGGGGGUGGAAUUCCACGU